UCGAGGGGCAGCAUUUUAGUUUGCUUGCAAACUAAAGAUGGCGACCGGCGCACGGGUGAGUAACACGUAUCCAACCUACCGAUAACUCUGGAAUAGCCUUUCGAAAGAAAGAUUAAUACCGGAUAGUAUACGAAUAUCGCAUGAUAUUUUUAUUAAAGAAUUUUGGUUAUCGAUGGGGAUGCGUUCCAUUAGUUUAUUGGCGGGGUAACGGCCCACCAAGACUACGAUGGAUAGGGGUUCUGAGAGGAAGGUCCCCCACAUUGGAACUGAGACACGGUCCAAACUCCUACGGGAGGCAGCAGUGAGGAAUAUUGGUCAAUGGGCGCAGGCCUGAACCAGCCAAGUAGCGUGAAGGAUGACUGCCCUAUGGGUUGUAAACUUCUUUUAUAUGGGGAUAAAGUUUUCCACGUGUGGAAUUUUGUAUGUACCAUAUGAAUAAGGAUCGGCUAACUCCGUGCCAGCAGCCGCGGUAAUACGGAGGAUCCGAGCGUUAUCCGGAUUUAUUGGGUUUAAAGGGAGCGUAGGUGGAUUGUUAAGUCAGUUGUGAAAGUUUGCGGCUCAGCCGUAAAAUUGCAGUUGAAACUGGCAGUCUUGAGUACAGUAGAGGUGGGCGGAAUUCGUGGUGUAGCGGUGAAAUGCUUAGAUAUCACGAAGA
RNAcentral lists this ribosomal RNA (655 nucleotides) under uncultured Bacteroidales bacterium. RNAcentral's name for it is "bacterial SSU rRNA". It matches the Rfam family "Bacterial small subunit ribosomal RNA", at positions 62 to 705 of the family's 1533-position model. Lineage: Bacteria; Pseudomonadati; Bacteroidota; Bacteroidia; Bacteroidales. The record is from RNAcentral.